This 253-nucleotide ribosomal RNA is filed under the name uncultured bacterium. Its description in RNAcentral is "partial 16S ribosomal RNA". It matches the Rfam family "Bacterial small subunit ribosomal RNA", at positions 524 to 776 of the family's 1533-position model. The record is from RNAcentral.
UACGUAGGGGGCAAGCGUUGUCCGGAUUUACUGGGCGUAAAGAGCGUGUAGGCGGCCAAACAGGUCCGUUGUGAAAACUGGAGGCUCAACCUCCAGACGUCGACGGAAACCGUGUGGCUAGAGUCCGGAAGAGGAGAGUGGAAUUCCUGGUGUAGCGGUGAAAUCCGUUGAUAUCAUGGGGAACACCAAAAGCGAAGGCAGUACAUUGGGCCACUCCUGACACUGAAACACGAAAGCGUGGGUAGCGAAUGGG